AGAGUUUGAUCAUGGCUCAGAAUCAACGCUGGCGGCGUGCCUAACACAUGCAAGUCGCACGAGAAAGUGGAGCAAUCCAUGAGUAAAGUGGCGCACGGGUGAGUAACACGUGAAUUAUCUACCUCCGAGUGGGGAAUAACUGAGAGAAAUCUUAGCUAAUACCGCAUAACACUUACGAGUCAAAGCAGCAAUGCGCUUGGAGAGGAGUUCGCGGCCGAUUAGUUAGUUGGCGGGGUAAUGGCCCACCAAGACGAUGAUCGGUAUCCGGCCUGAGAGGGCGCACGGACACACUGGAACUGAAACACGGUCCAGACUCCUACGGGAGGCAGCAGUGGGGAAUUUUGCGCAAUGGGGGAAACCCUGACGCAGCAACGCCGCGUGGAGGAUGAAAUAUCUUGGUAUGUAAACUCCUUUCGAUGGGGAAGAUUAUGACGGUACCCAUAGAAGAAGCCCCGGCUAACUUCGUGCCAGCAGCCGCGGUAAUACGAGGGGGGCAAGCGUUGUUCGGAUUUAUUGGGCGUAAAGGGUGCGUAGGCGGUUUGGCAAGUCUGAUGUGAAAUCUAUGGGCUCAACCCAUAGUCUGCAUCAGAAACUGCCGGGCUUGAGUAUGGGAGAGGUGAGUGGAAUUUCCGGUGUAGCGGUGAAAUGCGUAGAUAUCGGAAGGAACACCUGUGGCGAAAGCGGCUCACUGGACCAUAACUGACGCUGAUGCACGAAAGCUAGGGGAGCAAACAGGAUUAGAUACCCUUGUAGUCC
Molecule: ribosomal RNA, 756 nt
Filed under: uncultured bacterium
Lineage: Bacteria
Description: bacterial SSU rRNA
Rfam family: Bacterial small subunit ribosomal RNA
Source: RNAcentral